RNAcentral lists this ribosomal RNA (889 nucleotides) under Kellermania nolinae. RNAcentral's name for it is "LSU rRNA". It matches the Rfam family "Eukaryotic large subunit ribosomal RNA", at positions 37 to 944 of the family's 3401-position model. The record is from RNAcentral. Lineage: Eukaryota; Fungi; Ascomycota; Dothideomycetes; Botryosphaeriales; Planistromellaceae.
AGCAUAUCAAUAAGCGGAGGAAAAGAAACCAACAGGGAUUGCCUCAGUAACGGCGAGUGAAGCGGCAACAGCUCAAAUUUGAAAUCUGGCGCCUUCGGCGUCCGAGUUGUAAUUUGUAGAGGAUGCUUCGGCGAGGGCCCCCGUCUAAGUCCCUUGGAACAGGGCGUCACAGAGGGUGAGAAUCCCGUAUGUGAUGGGCGGCCCGAGCCGUGUGAAGCUCCUUCGACGAGUCGAGUUGUUUGGGAAUGCAGCUCUAAAUGGGAGGUAAAUUUCUUCUAAAGCUAAAUACCGGCCAGAGACCGAUAGCGCACAAGUAGAGUGAUCGAAAGAUGAAAAGCACUUUGGAAAGAGAGUUAAAAAGUACGUGAAAUUGUUGAAAGGGAAGCGCUUGCAACCAGACUCGCGCGCAGUUGCUCAGCCGGUCUCCUGACCGGUGUACUCUUCUGCGUCCGGGCCAGCAUCAGUUCGGGCGGUCGGAUAAAGGCCUCGGGAAUGUGGCUCCCCUCGGGGAGUGUUAUAGCCCGGGGUGCAAUGCGGCCAGCCCGGACUGAGGAACUCGCUUCGGCUAGGAUGCUGGCGUAAUGGUUGUAAGCGGCCCGUCUUGAAACACGGACCAAGGAGUCUAACAUCUAUGCGAGUGUUUGGGUGUCAAACCCAUGCGCGUAAUGAAAGUGAACGGAGGUGGGAACCCUCACGGGUGCACCAUCGACCGAUCCUGAUGUCUUCGGAUGGAUUUGAGUAAGAGCAUAGCUGUUGGGACCCGAAAGAUGGUGAACUAUGCCUGAAUAGGGUGAAGCCAGAGGAAACUCUGGUGGAGGCUCGCAGCGGUUCUGACGUGCAAAUCGAUCGUCAAAUUUGGGUAUAGGGGCGAAAGACUAAUCGAACCAUC